This is a non-coding RNA of Pangasius djambal, 72 nucleotides long. Lineage: Eukaryota; Metazoa; Chordata; Actinopteri; Siluriformes; Pangasiidae. The record is from the annotation of a GenBank genome assembly.
GCAGUGGUGGCUCAGUGGUUAAAGCCCUGGGUUACUGAUCAGAAUGUCAGGGGUUCAAGCCCUAGUACUGCC